GAUUAGUGGGAAGCCCAGCAAUAAGCUGAUGCCUAGGGAAUAACGUCCCAAGUGGGGACACAGACGUGAAGUGCCGCGAAGGCACCGAGGCCACCGUCUCCACCUGGGAAGGGCCCGGAAGCAGACAAUCCAGCAGGGAGCAAGCUAGCCUGGGUACACGGCAAGCACAGCCUGUCUUCAAGGGUGCCAUGUCAAGGGAAUGAGAAAUAUUAAUAGUUCAGAGUGGCCAGAGGAACGGUUCUUUCAGGACCCCAAGUGGCAGGUUCAUUCAUUCAUUCAUUCUAGUUAUUCGUGGAGAACCCAUGCUUUACUAAACGUGAGGCCGACAUUUAUGGAGGCCUGGCUAGAAAAGCAGGAGCGACCGGGAGGGCCUCGGGUGCCGACCGCAGCACAGGCCUUAUCCGGAAACCCAUGGAGAGCCAGGAAGGCUCCAACCAGGACUUGGACCUGAUCAGACGUGUGUGUUGGCCAUCGUGUGCAAGACAUGCUGGGGACCCCAGCCUGGGGGCACCAGGGCUGGGCAGGAGUCCUUAAUUCCCCUCAGCACUGUUUGAGGUGAGCAACUACAACUACACAAGACAAAGACGAAAGACUUUUUCAAGCUCAAAAAUCCUGUGAUUCUUUGAUUCUAAGAAGAGAUUUUCUGACAAGGAGUUUGCCUAAGGUACUCACUGUGCUAUGAUGGUUUGAAUGCAGGCUUGGCCUCCUCUCCAGCCUGUGACUACUAGGAAGACAGUGCACCUGUCCUAUACACCUUUGUAUCUCUGGUGUCUCACUCAGGAUUGGGCACAGUGCUUGCCAAGGACCUGCUAUGUGCCAGGGGCUGCUGGAGCUGGGAACCUAAUGAUCGCAGUGUCAGCCUCUGCCAGCCUUUGUGUGUGUGGCAGGGGUGGUUUUGAGUCCCACCAUCUUCCAUCCCUGAUGCUUGGAGAACCUGAGGACACACAGGGAACACCAGCCCCAUCUUUUCACCAUAGAGUUUCCAGAACCGACCUUUGAAGUAUAAAGAAAAAGAUCAGAUGUUGGGCCAUAGUAGAGGGCUUCCACCAAAGGAGGAGCUUGGGGGUGAAGCAGGCCAACAGGCAAGCUCCAGGCAGGGGCUGCCAGCAAGCAGGCUUGUCUCGAUGGGGACAACAGUGCCGUAAAGCUGACAGAGUUUGGCUUCAUUUGAAGGUGUGAAAAGAACAGCCUGACUCUGAGAGGCAAGUCCACCGAGCCCAGGACCCCAGGGGAACUGGUUCUCACCAUGCAUGCAAUGCCGCAGCCACUUCCCAAGUCAGGAGGGCAGCUGAAGUCCUGCACUGGGGACAGUUGGAUCAGGUGUGUCUGUCAGACAUCCCCUGAUGACACAGAAUGCCUCUCUCCUCUGAGAGCAGGACACUGUGUUUAGACAGUCCCUGGUAAAUGUGAGCAGCCACGAGAAAGGCAGCCUUAAGUGGGUCAAAUUAAUCUCUUCUAUGGAUGCAGAGUUGAGCUCCAUCAUUCGCUGCCCACGAGAGAAAGAUUGCCAUGGCCUUAAGAAGUGGAAGCAGAACUGUUAAUAUUAUUUUUAAGUUGAUGCAAAAAAGGACUUCUAUCUCC
This is a long non-coding RNA of Cercocebus atys (sooty mangabey), 1581 nucleotides long. RefSeq lists it as uncharacterized. The transcript is spliced from 5 exons. The record is from RefSeq and is a predicted model, not a curated record. NCBI's taxonomy places the organism in Eukaryota, Metazoa, Chordata, Mammalia, Primates, Cercopithecidae.